CCUACGGGUGGCAGCAGUCGAGAAUCAUUCACAAUGGGGGAAACCCUGAUGGUGCGACGCCGCGUGGGGGAAUGAAGGUCUUCGGAUUGUAAACCCCUGUCAUGUGGGAGCAAAUUAAAAAGAUAGUACCACAAGAGGAAGAGACGGCUAACUCUGUGCCAGCAGCCGCGGUAAUACAGAGGUCUCAAGCGUUGUUCGGAAUCACUGGGCGUAAAGCGUGCGUAGGCUGUUGCGUAAGUCGUGUGUGAAAGGCGCGGGCUCAACCCGCGGACGGCACAUGAUACUGGGAGACUAGAGUAAGGGAGGGGGAAGCGGAAUUCUCGGUGUAGCAGUGAAAUGCGUAGAUAUCGAGAGGAACACUCGUGGCGAAGGCGGGUUCCUGGACAUUAACUGACGCUGAGGCACGAAGGCCAGGGGAGCGAAAGGGAUUAGAUACCCGAGUAGUC
RNAcentral lists this ribosomal RNA (446 nucleotides) under uncultured bacterium. Its description in RNAcentral is "partial 16S ribosomal RNA". It matches the Rfam family "Bacterial small subunit ribosomal RNA", at positions 338 to 795 of the family's 1533-position model. The record is from RNAcentral.